This is a long non-coding RNA of Papio anubis (olive baboon), 2476 nucleotides long. The record is from Ensembl. Lineage: Eukaryota; Metazoa; Chordata; Mammalia; Primates; Cercopithecidae.
CUUGAAGAAGGUUCAUGCAAAGACACCAAGUAGGCCAAUGGUCUUGGACAAUGAGCUUGGGCAGUGUUCCAAAGGUAAGAAAUCGGUGGCUGAGGUCUUGGCUUUCUAGAGCAUUUGAAUCUGCUCCAGAUGCCUCUAGGCUUCCUCAAAAGAUGGUCCCGGCCAGGGUGGGGCUAAUAGUUUGGAGCCCCAGAAGUCCCAGGCCAGCUGCUUUUGGGAGCUGCUGAAACUGGGGCCUUCCAGCAAGCUCAGAAGGCACUGCUAUUGUCACACUCCCACAACUUCCCUGUGGCCUUACUGAGACAACUUCAGCUACCCCCAACUACAUUACCCUUAUAUCUGAUGACACAUAGGGAAGUCCCAUUAUUUAUUAUGUGUAGAUUCCAGUGCUUUCCACAUAUAGAGAAACAACUGUUUGCGGGCCUUGCUACCUGGCUCCUGACCAGCCUGCUGAUUCAACCUGACAUACCUUUGCUUUAAAUUAAGGGGCUAACACUGUGGCCAGAACCACUGAUUUUUGUUUUUGUUUUUUUGAGAUGGAGUCUUGCUCUGUUGCCCAGGCUGGAGUGAAGUUGCACCAUGUCGGCUCACUGCAGCCUCCACUCCUUGGGUUCAAGUGAUUCUCCUGCUUCAGCCUCCUGAGUAGCUGGGUCUACAGGUGCACGCUACCAUGCCCAGUUGAGGCUAAUUUUUGUAUUUUUAGUAGAGGCGAGGUUUCACCAUGUUGAUCAGGCUAAUCAUGAACUCCUGAGCUCAGGCAAGCCAUCAGCCUCGGCCUCCCAAAGUGCUGGAAUUACAGGUGUGAGCCACUGCUUCUGGCCUGAUUGUUAUAGUAGGUAGUCAGGCAGACAUAAGCAGGGCAGGAGCGGGUUCCCCCUCCCCGCACCAGGAAUGUCAGGUGACCAUCAGGUGAUGGUCAGGCAGUUGCUAAGCUGUCUCUCUGAAAAAAUUGGUCACAGCUGGCUCAAGGGAAAGGCAGUCUCUUAGUACAUGAAAAACCUGAAACUGGUGAUCAACUUCCCAGUAAGAUCUCCUGGGCCAGAGGGCCCACACAUGUGCAUUAAAAGGCAAAAUGGUGAAGUUUAACUGGUCUGUUACCUUACAGUAAACCCUGGACUUGUAAGGGAAAAAGGCCUCAAGUGAGCAUGAGUACAACUCUAGUAAACACACUGCACACGCUCCCCUCCCAAUCACUGGCAGGCUGCUGUGCAUGCAGGACAGCCCACCCCAAGGGAGGAAUCAGAGGAGAAGUAACACAAGACCCCAGAAGCAUGCCAGCGUAUAAAACCCCAAGUGAAAAGGUCAAACUGUGCACUUGAUUGCUUAAGCUGCCCACUUGGCCCUCUUCCAAGUGCACUUUCCUUCCUUUCAUUCCUGCUGGAAAGCUUUUUAAUAAACUCACUCCUGCUCUAGAACUUACCUCAGUCUCUCCUUCUGCCUUAUGCCCCUUGGUUGAAUUCUUCCUUCUGAGGAGGCAAGAACUCCUCAGAAAGAACCCAACUCCUUAGGGGUUGCUGCAGACCCAUACAGAUUCUCUGCCCGUAACAUGAUCACCAGGCUCUGUUCCUCUUUCUGUCACCCCUGACCCAGAGGAAGCACUUGUCAGGUUUAUCUCCUGGUGCUUGCUCUGCCUUUAACCCUUUCUUCUCACAGGGCCUUUCUUCUUUCUUUAUUUCUUUUUGAGACGGAGUCUCACUCUGUUGUCCAGGCUGGAGUGCAGUGGCACAAUCUUGACUCACUGCAACUUCUGUCCCACGGGUUCAAGCAAUUCUUGUGCCUCAGCCCCCCGAGUAACUAGUGUUGCAGGUGUGCACCACCAUGCCCACGCUAACUUUUGUAUUUUUAGUAGUGACGGGGUUUCACCAUGUUGGCCAGACUGGUCUCAAACUCCUGACCUCAAGUGAUCCACCUGCCUUGGCCUCCCAAAGUGCUGGGAUUACAGGCGUGAGCCACUGCGCCCAGCCUCACAGGGCCUUUCUUAGUGCUGGUUUCCCUCAAUUUCUACCUUCUCCAUGUUGCUUCUAGUUGAACUCUUCUGUGACAAUGCUGCUGCCACCUCAGGUAAGUUAAGUGGAAGAAGGAGGAAAGCAAUUCCAUCUUCAGUGACCUGAGUAAAGCCGUCUUCCUUAGCCACAUGUGGAGAAUUGUUCUCAUUAUGACGAUUUGAAUGUCAUAAAUCUUUGUGCUUCGACAGUGACAUAGAGUAAAGCCUCAUUAAUUAAGGCCUCACUGAUUCAGAAUUUAAGAUAAUGUCUUCAUAGGCCAAGCUGAAAUUUACAUUUGCACUAUCUAUGAAAAAAGAGUUCAUUAAGUAAAUCAAUAAAGUAAGGAAGAUUGCAGGAAGUCUGUUUAAUCUAAUUAAGAAAACAAACUAUUUUCAAGCACUUUGUAAUACCAUCGACAUAUAAACAAUGUGCUCAUUACAAAUGACUAUUAUGGGAUCAUUAAAGCAUUUUAAGGAAAAUUCCUGUUUGAC